CGGAUUGCGUAGCCCAGCCUGGUAGCGCAUCUGGUUUGGGACCAGAGGGUCGGGAGUUCGAAUCUCUCCGCCCCGACCA
Molecule: transfer RNA, 79 nt
Filed under: Alphaproteobacteria bacterium
Lineage: Bacteria; Pseudomonadati; Pseudomonadota; Alphaproteobacteria
Description: tRNA-Pro
Rfam family: tRNA (bases 7-71)
About the family: Transfer RNA (tRNA) molecules are approximately 80 nucleotides in length. Their secondary structure includes four short double-helical elements and three loops (D, anti-codon, and T loops).
Source: RNAcentral